GAUGAAGAACGUAGCGAAAUGCGAAAAGUAAUGCGAAUUGCAGAAUUCAGCGAGUCAUCGAGUCUUUGAACGCACAUUGCGCCCGCCGGCAUUCCGGCGGGCAUGCCUGUCCGAGCGUCUUUUCCAAACCUCGGGCGCGACCCUCUUGUCCCUGAUCCGGCUGGCCAGCGGGUUGGGGGCGGGAGUGGACCGCCCGGUUUUGGGCACCUUUCGCGCCUCGCGCGGGAAGGCCCUGAAUCAAUCACCGGGAAAAGGCGACUUGGUGGUGUCGGUCACGCCGGAGCGCGCUGCCCGUCCCACCAGCCGGUUUUCCGCUGACCGGACGGGGGGCUCCUCGCCCCGUCCGAGUUCCUCUCGGUUCGACCUCGGAUCAGGUAGGGUUACCCGCUGAACUUAAGCAUAUCAAUAAGCGGAGGA
Molecule: unclassified non-coding RNA, 417 nt
Filed under: soil metagenome
Description: partial contains 5.8S ribosomal RNA, internal transcribed spacer 2, and large subunit ribosomal RNA
Rfam family: 5.8S ribosomal RNA (bases 1-120)
Source: RNAcentral